This 402-nucleotide ribosomal RNA is filed under the name uncultured bacterium. RNAcentral's name for it is "bacterial SSU rRNA". It matches the Rfam family "Bacterial small subunit ribosomal RNA", at positions 355 to 773 of the family's 1533-position model. The record is from RNAcentral.
UAGGGAAUAUUGCAAAAUCGGCGAAAGCCCGAUGCAGCAACGCCGCGUGGGCGAUGAAGGCCUUCGGGUCGUAAAGCCCUUUUUGAGGGGAUGAGGAAGGACAGUACCCUCAGAAUAAGCCUCGGCUAACUACGUGCCAGCAGCCGCGGUAAAACGUAGGAGGCGAGCGUUAUCCGGAUUUACUGGGCGUAAAGCGCGUGCAGGCGGAUUGGAGAGUUGGAUGUGAAAGCUCCCGGCUUAACUGGGAGAGGUCGUUCAAUACUUCCAGUCUUGAGUGCAGUAGAGGGAAGUGGAAUUCCGGGUGUAGUGGUGAAAUGCGUAGAUAUCCAGAGGAACACCAGUGGCGAAAGCGGCUUCCUGGACUGUAACUGACGCUCAGACGCGAAAGCUAGGGUAGCAAAC